Non-coding RNA from Strigamia maritima, 71 nucleotides. The record is from Rfam. Lineage: Eukaryota; Metazoa; Arthropoda; Chilopoda; Geophilomorpha; Linotaeniidae.
UUCCAGGUAGCUUAAUGGUAAAGCACCCAAUCGGCAAUUGGGGGAUCUAAGUUCAAGUCCCGGCCCGGGUU